This is a long non-coding RNA of Hippocampus comes (tiger tail seahorse), 455 nucleotides long. RefSeq lists it as uncharacterized. The record is from RefSeq and is a predicted model, not a curated record. The transcript has 3 exons. Lineage: Eukaryota; Metazoa; Chordata; Actinopteri; Syngnathiformes; Syngnathidae.
AGAAAAUACUCAGGAAGAACAAGAAAAAGCACGGGAACAGGAAACCCUCGGCUAUUCUUGAGGAGCCGGAGAGCUUCACAGAGGAUGAGGAUGUUUUGAUUGGAGAAGGUCCUACAUUGGACAGGCCGCUUUCCCCUCUGGAAAAACUGCAUAUCAUUGUUGGAUAUGCGCUCUCCAAACGAGACAUCAGAGACGAGAUUUACUGUCAGAUCUGUAAGCAGCUGAUGAACAAUAAAAACAGAGCGAGCCGCAUGCAAGGAUGGGCCCUACUCUCCAUCUGUCUGGGGAUCUUCCCCCCGACAGAACUCUUCAUCAAGGUCAGCUUCUGCCAAUUUUCCUUCUUGAAAUUGCAUUGCGGGUGGACCCUGACAGAAAAGGCCAUGUUUAAUAAACUGAGGACCAAGGCUGUAUUUACACUGCAUGUCCCACUUCAGUCAGUGCUUAGUCCGUCAUUU